GUUCAAAAGGCAGAGCAAAGCCAGUGGAGCUCCCUGAGACGGCAGGUGUUUACGGGACAGAUCUGUCACUGGGGGGUGGUAGUCAGUUCAAGGCCUGUUGCUAAUGCUACAUGACAGUUUGGCAUUUGAGACAUGAGCACUGGAGUGACGGAGGAGGAUCAGGAAGGCCACGUUUACCAGGAGAGUAAUGGCAUCUGAAAGGAUGCUGCAGCUGGUGUGAGACGGACUACAUCUCGAUGAGUUGGCAGGCGACAUCAUCUGGGUGCAGUAAUGCCUCAGAAACACAAAGAGCCCCAUUCAGAGUCCUCAGGAGCAGUAUCCCACACCCACACUGUCAAGAGGACACCCAGACCCAUCCAGCACACAGCCUGGAGUCAUUAUGGAAAGCAAUGUGUACUUACACAGCAGUAGAACAUUCACAGGAAAACAUUAAGCAGUGAAGGAACGCUUGAAGAGGAAACAAGAGCAAAAGGAUAAAACAAAAACCUGGCGCUCACCACAUCUGUCCAGGAGCUGUCUCCCUCCUGCCAUCUCAACCACAGUGAUUUACGUUCAUCAAACAUUCACAGGGAUUGUUCCCACAGACUACAACAACAUCUUCGGCUAUCCGAGGGACUCAGGGGGUCCACAUAACAUGUGUAAAGUGAGAGUGGAGCUUUCCUGGACAGAGAUGGAGUCAGCAGAGAUCUCAGAGGCAGACAGAGAGGCCCCAGUCUCUGUGAACCUCAAGACAGAGACAAACAAUGGAAAAACAAUAUUAAUGGGGAGCGCCACCAAGUUUACACACCAAAGUCAUGCUCACAGUUCCUUGGGGAGUUAUACUGCAUAUGUGAAAAAAAGUUGUAUAAAGCCUUUGCGGCUGUGCAAGGUCUAAUUAAAUAAAAAAAAGUGUAGUCACUUGAUUCAGCGACUACAAAACACAAAAAGGUUUUUUUAAAAAGAUUUAUAAAGAAGUGAGCAUACCAGACCUCUGCAGCCUGACUAGCAUAACAUGUAACACACACAAAUCUAGAAGCCAACUGUCAGCAGCAGUUACAUUAUGGGUAAAGACGGCACCAGGUUUUGACAAGAAAGAAAAAUGCCUGACAUAAAACAUUCAAUCUCUGGUUCUGUUGCAUUGAUUUUGAUUUUAUAUGUAUCAUAAAUAAGAAAUAUGAUACAGGUGUAUGUCAUCUUUGUUUGAUGUUUUGUGCUUCUUGCUAUGGGCUUGUUUCUGGUGCGAGUUUCUUAAUGAGAUUCACAAAGUGCAAAGAUCCUUAAUUUUUGAAUGAGUGUGACUCCCUGGGUGAGACAAAAUCUACUGAGUGGACGCCAAGGUUGGAAAUCAUCAAAGACCCUUAUAUCAAGCACACUGAACCGUUCCCGUUGUGCAAUAAAUCUGAAAUUUUAUUUGGCUUCGCAGUGACUGCGAUGAAAUACGACACUUAGAGCUCCACUACUGCAGCAGCUCACAGCUCAGUACAAUGCAGCUUCUCACUUCUGAAAGCUGCUGAUUCUUCAUGUAAUCCCACACCGAUGCACUCAAGGCUAGGCAAUUGACUCUACCCAUGAAAUAUUCAUAUGAAGAUGUUUUGAAACACAUUUGCAUUUAUUAAGUUACUCCGUCUAAAUAAUGGAAGGUUUUCAGUGCAUUAAAAACCUUUUUAACAUAUUGUGUAAUCUGUCACCUCCUAAUUACCAGCGUUUUAAAGAUAAAUUUAGCACUAAAAGUAAGGAAAUAUGUGUUUGGUAGAUUAUUUCUCUGUGGUAACAUUAUUUUUUGGGCAUUUUGGGCCAUUAUUUCCACAGGACAGAUGAAGACAUGAAAGAGGAGAGACCCCAAAUGUCAUUUGUAAGGAACAUGCAUUUGUGGAAUGAGCAGCAGUGCUGAGUCACGGUGCUUGUCAUCAUUGGCAAUCUCAAUGAAGAGAGCUAAAGAAAUUAAAUUCUGCAACCAGCUGCAAUCCCAUAUCUCCACAGUCUGGGACUGAACUCUAUCCUCCACGCUCACCCCCAAAGGGCGGGGUUUAUCAGCGACGACCUCCAGAAUGUGGGAGUGGAGAGGAUGGAAGGGCCUACUAGCAGCCCCAACCUCAACCCCUUCAACACUUGUGUGUACUUGUCAGAGUGACCAACACAACCACACUGGCUGACUUGCGACAAAUGCUGGUUGAAGAAUGGGAUGUCAUCCCACAGCAGUGUGUGACCAGGCUGGUGACCCGUAUGAGGAGGAGGUGCCAGGCUGUGUAUGGUUCUUCCACACGCUACUGAGGUGUUUGUGAAAUGAAUAAAUUGUUAAAUUAUCAAUAUGUCUUGUUUCUUCAAACUUCAAUCAUCCAAUCCACCAAACACCAGAAGAGUCAAUGGCAGAAUAAGCUGUUUGGUGUUAGCAGAGAAGAUUUGGCCCAUUUUUCAUGGGCACAACCCACCCAACAUUACUCAGGGCUGUUGCUCAUCCCACAAAUGCAUGUUCCUUACAAAUGGGGCACCAUCUGAAAGGGAACUAAACACUCUUUCCAACGGUAUAAGAUCUAUUGCCGAAAAGCAUCGUUACCACAGAGAAAUGAUCUAACAAACACAAAUGUCCUUACUUUUCGUGCUAAGUUUAGAAAUUAUUUAG
Long non-coding RNA from Etheostoma spectabile (orangethroat darter), 2599 nucleotides. RefSeq lists it as uncharacterized. The transcript has 3 exons. NCBI's taxonomy places the organism in Eukaryota, Metazoa, Chordata, Actinopteri, Perciformes, Percidae. The record is from RefSeq and is a predicted model, not a curated record.